AUGGGAGGGAAUGACAAUCACAAGUAUUUUGUUUGCGCGUUCCAAGGGAAACACACCACUACCGUUUCAGAGGCUGACAGGCAGCGAAACAAAACAUCACAGAGGAUAGGCUGCAAUGCAAGAAUGAGGGUGAAGGUGCAGGAGGAUAACACAUGCGUGGCAGUGGACAUUGAGUACAAUCAUAAUCACCACCUCAUGCAAACUGAUGACAUGCUGGUUUUCUUGCACUCACACAAGAAUUAUGACCCCACUAUUCUGGAGUACGUAAAACUCCUGCAGUACCAUGAUGUCAAGCACACAACAAUCAUGUCCAUGCUAUCUGAAAAUGAAGAUGGAAGCUACUUCCUAAGCAUGACCGGACGAGACUUACUAAACCAGAAAGCCAUGAAUGCAAGGAAAGAUGAUUUGGAUGAUGUGUUGAAACUCGUUUCAUUCUUCAAGGACAUUAAGGCAAUCAAUGAUGAGUUUUUCUAUGACAUGCAAGUAGACAAGGACAAGUCAAUCAAAAACAUUUUCAGGUCCAAUGCAAGCUGUCGAGGAGCGUAUCAAGACUUUGGCGAUUGCGUAACCUUUGACAAAACUUACAAAACCAAUAGAUUUCAUAUUCCUCUGGGAGUAUUUGUUGGAACAAACCAUCACUUGCAGUCAACAAUAUUUGCUGUUGCCCUUAUCAGAGACGAAGAUUCAAAGUCAUUCAAGUGGCACCAGUGCCCGUCGAUGGUGAAAGCUAUACCACAAUCAUUCCCAAACACCGUCCACAAGCUAUGCCAUUGGCACAUCCUGAAGAAGUACAAGGAACCGCUGUACAAAAAGUACAAAACAUUCAAAGAGGAGUUCGCAGCUAUAUUAAACUGGUCGCUGAUGCCAACGGAGUUUGAAACUGCCUGGGCUGAGCUCGUGCACAGGUACAACCUAGAGAACAACCAGAUGAUGAUGCAGCUCCGGAAUGAUAGGAAAAUGUGGAUUUCAGCAUAUUACUAGAACAUUUUCUGUGCCAGAAUGACUUCCACACAACGAAGCGAGAGCAUGAACCAUGUGCUCAAGAAAGGGUUUGUCAAGGGGACCCAGAACCUACACAAGUUUGCUAGGCGGGUAAAUGCUUGCAUACAAACUCGUAUACAGAAGGAGAACGAGCAAACAAUGACCAGCAUGACCAAUCCUGUGACAAAAACAACAUACGGCUACGAGGAAGACAUGUCUAUCAAGUACACAAGAGCGGUGUACACCGAGAUGAGGACUAGGAUGAGAAAAGCCACGCUAUUUCGCGCAAAGCCUACAACAGAGCCCACUAAGUACCUUGUGUACUACCACAACAAGGCUGGCCAUGAUGAUGAAGAAAGAUUUUCCUGGUCAAAGCAUGAAUUCCAGGUUGUAGCUGACCCUGAUAAUGAAAUAUACGAGUGUGAAUGCAAGCUAUGGACACACACAGGUGAGCGGAAAAAUAAACUCACUAAAUAG
RNAcentral lists this ribosomal RNA (1458 nucleotides) under Triticum aestivum (bread wheat). Its description in RNAcentral is "partial small subunit ribosomal RNA". The record is from RNAcentral. Lineage: Eukaryota; Viridiplantae; Streptophyta; Magnoliopsida; Poales; Poaceae.